This 493-nucleotide ribosomal RNA is filed under the name uncultured bacterium. RNAcentral's name for it is "partial 16S ribosomal RNA". It matches the Rfam family "Bacterial small subunit ribosomal RNA", at positions 28 to 507 of the family's 1533-position model. The record is from RNAcentral.
GACGAACGCUGGCGGCGUGCUUAACACAUGCAAGUCGAACGGAAAGGCCUGCUUUCCCUUGUGGAUUGCGGGUACUCGAGUGGCGAACGGGUGAGUAACACGUGAGUGAUCUGCCCCCAACUUGGGUAUAAGCCUGGGAAACUGGGUCUAAUUCCCGAUAGGACUGCAGGGUGGUGCCUGUGGUGGAAAACGAUUUUCUAGUGGUUGGGGAUGAGCUCGCGGCCUAUCAGCUUGUUGGUGGGGUAAUGGCCUACCAAGGCGGCGACGGGUAGCCGGCCUGGGAGGUGGGCCGGCCAAAUUGGGCCUGGGAAACGGCCCAGACUCGUACGGGAGGCGGCGGUGGGGAAUAUGGCACAAUGGGCGGAAGCCUGAUGCAGCGACGCGGCGUGGGGGAUGCCGGCCUUCGGGUUGUAAACUCCUUUCGACCGCGGGAAGCCACCUGGUUGGAAGGGUGGUGACGGUAGUGGUAGAAGAAGCACCGGCUAACUACGUG